UAGGGAAUCUUCGGCAAUGGACGAAAGUCUGACCGAGCAACGCCGCGUGAGUGAAGAAGGUUUUCGGAUCGUAAAACUCUGUUGUUAGAGAAGAACAAGGACGUUAGUAACUGAACGUCCCCUGACGGUAUCUAACCAGAAAGCCACGGCUAACUACGUGCCAGCAGCCGCGGUAAUACGUAGGUGGCAAGCGUUGUCCGGAUUUAUUGGGCGUAAAGCGAGCGCAGGCGGUUUCUUAAGUCUGAUGUGAAAGCCCCCGGCUCAACCGGGGAGGGUCAUUGGAAACUGGGAGACGUGAGUGCAGAAGAGGAGAGUGGAAUUCCAUGUGUAGCGGUGAAAUGCGUAGAUAUAUGGAGGAACACAAGUGGCGAAGGCGGCUCUCUGGUCUGUAACUGACGCUGAGGCUCGAAAGCGUGGGGAGCAAACAGG
This 429-nucleotide ribosomal RNA is filed under the name Gemmatimonadota bacterium. RNAcentral's name for it is "Gemmatimonadetes bacterium partial 16S ribosomal RNA". It matches the Rfam family "Bacterial small subunit ribosomal RNA", at positions 355 to 776 of the family's 1533-position model. Lineage: Bacteria; Pseudomonadati; Gemmatimonadota. The record is from RNAcentral.